GCACUCACAAUGUCGGCGUGUGGCACCAGUGAGCCUGUACAUGCAGUAGCUGAUUCCACAAACACAGCGCAGCCCCAAGACACUGUAGAUUGUGCAGAUGAAGGACUACUCACAAUGCCUGCAGCAAGUGAGACUGCUGCUCCCUCUGAAGAGAAAAAUGCUGCUCAAUCCCACAAUUCCC
This is a long non-coding RNA of Maylandia zebra (zebra mbuna), 181 nucleotides long. RefSeq lists it as uncharacterized. The record is from RefSeq and is a predicted model, not a curated record. NCBI's taxonomy places the organism in Eukaryota, Metazoa, Chordata, Actinopteri, Cichliformes, Cichlidae.